Long non-coding RNA from Panicum virgatum (switchgrass), 627 nucleotides. RefSeq lists it as uncharacterized. Lineage: Eukaryota; Viridiplantae; Streptophyta; Magnoliopsida; Poales; Poaceae. The record is from RefSeq and is a predicted model, not a curated record. The transcript has 2 exons.
CGCAGGCCCGCAGCACGCGCGCGCACGGCACUUGAGCGGCAGGCGACUCGUCCUCACCGUCUCCGGAGGUGAAGGCGGGGCACCCGCAUGCGGAGCUCAGGAUCGCCUUCAUCCACCCCCGACCUCCGGGCUUCGGGACAGGGAGACUAACAGAAGUCCAAGAUUCCUUUCUCCCGGAUGGAUGGUCCCAGUUGAGUUGGACGUUUUUGGUGGGAAGCGGACAAACCAAAGCAGGUUCCCCUUUGGCACCUAUAUUUUCCUAAACAAAAUUAGUCCUUGCAGGAUGUUUUCCAACAAAAACAAUUACACCAAGACAUAAAUUUGCUACCUGGAACCUGCUAAUCCAUAUAUUCUCCCAUCUGGAUUGUGCACUUGUGCCCAUACUUUAAAGCACAGGAAAGUCUAUUCCUUGCCAUGGGAGCAAUCAAGAGGUUGCUUAGAUCACUGGCUCACUGAUGGUUGACUUGAGCGCUGUUCCGAAUCAUCAGUCGGUGGGUGAUUCAAUCUGUUUAUAGUUUGUUAUGAUUAUUUGAGAACUUUGUUAUGUUGAAAUGUAAAAUCUUAAUAGAACCAGUUCGCUGCUGGCAAAAGUGGACUUGAAGUACUUAUAGAGGUUGUUCUAUACUU